Molecule: ribosomal RNA, 253 nt
Filed under: uncultured bacterium
Lineage: Bacteria
Description: partial 16S ribosomal RNA
Rfam family: Bacterial small subunit ribosomal RNA
Source: RNAcentral
GACAGAGGGUGCAACCGUUGUUCGGAAUUACUGGGCGUAAAGCGUGCGUAGGUGGUUCGUUAAGUCUGAUGUGAAAGCCCUGGGCUCAACCUGGGAAUGGCAUUGGAUACUGGCGACCUAGAGUGCGGUAGAGGGUGGCGGAAUUCCCGGUGUAGCAGUGAAAUGCGUAGAUAUCGGGAGGAACAUCCGUGGCGAAGGCGGCCACCUGGACCAGCACUGACACUGAGGCACGAAAGCGUGGGGAGCAAACAGG